UACGGAGGGGGCUAGCGUUGUUCGGAAUCAUUGGGCGUAAAGGGCGCGUAGGCGGCCGAUCAAGUCGGAGGUGAAAUCCCUCGGCUCAACUGAGGAAUUGCCUUCGAUACUGUUCGGCUUGAGUCCUGGAGAGGGUAGCGGAAUUCCCGGUGUAGCGGUGAAAUGCGUAGAUAUUGGGAGGAACACCGGUGGCGAAGGCGGCCCCCUGGACCGGUACUGACGCUGAGGCGCGAAAGCGUGGGUAGCAAACGGG
This 253-nucleotide ribosomal RNA is filed under the name uncultured bacterium. RNAcentral describes it as "partial 16S ribosomal RNA". It matches the Rfam family "Bacterial small subunit ribosomal RNA", at positions 524 to 776 of the family's 1533-position model. The record is from RNAcentral.